AGAGCAUCACCCUCCUCCCCUCCACCUACACCCCCACCUCUACAGGAGUGUGUGUGGAGAAUCAGAAAUGUCUGCUGCUGCGGUCCCCAGAGUGAACACAACAGAUGGGGAGGAGGAGCUUCAUCCUUCAAGGCGGAGCUAGGUCCACCCAGGCGUUUUGGACAGCUGAAUGGUUCCCAAGGCAACACUGCAGUAAUGGCUCCGC
Molecule: long non-coding RNA, 205 nt
Organism: Gambusia affinis (western mosquitofish)
Lineage: Eukaryota; Metazoa; Chordata; Actinopteri; Cyprinodontiformes; Poeciliidae
Exons: 3
Source: RefSeq, a predicted model, not a curated record